RNAcentral lists this ribosomal RNA (436 nucleotides) under uncultured bacterium. Its description in RNAcentral is "bacterial SSU rRNA". It matches the Rfam family "Bacterial small subunit ribosomal RNA", at positions 335 to 763 of the family's 1533-position model. The record is from RNAcentral.
ACUCCUACGGGAGGCAGCAGUAGGGAAUCUUCCACAAUGGGCGCAAGCCUGAUGGAGCAACACCGCGUGAGUGAAGAAGGGUUUCGGCUCGUAAAGCUCUGUUGUUAAAGAAGAACACGUAUGAGAGUAACUGUUCAUACGUUGACGGUAUUUAACCAGAAAGUCACGGCUAACUACGUGCCAGCAGCCGCGGUAAUACGUAGGUGGCAAGCGUUAUCCGGAUUUAUUGGGCGUAAAGAGAGUGCAGGCGGUUUUCUAAGUCUGAUGUGAAAGCCUUCGGCUUAACCGGAGAAGUGCAUCGGAAACUGGAUAACUUGAGUGCAGAAGAGGGUAGUGGAACUCCAUGUGUAGCGGUGGAAUGCGUAGAUAUAUGGAAGAACACCAGUGGCGAAGGCGGCUACCUGGUCUGCAACUGACGCUGAGACUCGAAAGCAGU